AGUGAACGCUGGCGGUAGGCCUAACACAUGCAAGUCGGACGGCAGCACAGUAAGAGCUUGCUCUUACGGGUGGCGAGUGGCGGACGGGUGAGGAAUACAUCGGAAUCUACUUUUUCGUGGGGGAUAACGUAGGGAAACUUACGCUAAUACCGCAUACGACCUACGGGUGAAAGCAGGGGAUCUUCGGACCUUGCGCGAUUGAAUGAGCCGAUGUCGGAUUAGCUAGUUGGCGGGGUAAAGGCCCACCAAGGCGGCGAUCCGUAGCUGGUCUGAGAGGAUGAUCAGCCACACUGGAACUGAGACACGGUCCAGACUCCUACGGGAGGCAGCAGUGGGGAAUAUUGGACAAUGGGCGCAAGCCUGAUCCAGCCAUACCGCGUGGGUGAAGAAGGCCUUCGGGUUGUAAAGCCCUUUUGUUGGGAAAGAAAAGCAGCAGGUUAAUACCCCGCUGUUCUGACGGUACCCAAAGAAUAAGCACCGGCUAACUUCGUG
Molecule: ribosomal RNA, 492 nt
Filed under: uncultured bacterium
Lineage: Bacteria
Description: partial 16S ribosomal RNA
Rfam family: Bacterial small subunit ribosomal RNA
Source: RNAcentral